Molecule: ribosomal RNA, 201 nt
Filed under: Diplodia sapinea
Lineage: Eukaryota; Fungi; Ascomycota; Dothideomycetes; Botryosphaeriales; Botryosphaeriaceae
Description: partial 18S ribosomal RNA
Rfam family: Eukaryotic small subunit ribosomal RNA
Source: RNAcentral
UAUUGCUCUUCAACGAGGAAUCCCUAGUAAGCGCAAGUCAUCAGCUUGCGUUGAUUACGUCCCUGCCCUUUGUACACACCGCCCGUUGCUACUACCGAUUGAAUGGCUCAGUGAGGCGUCCGGACUGGCCCAGAGAGGAGGGAAACCACCACUCAGGGCCGGAAAGCUCUCCAAACUCGGUCAUUUAGAGGAAGUAAAAGU